This 252-nucleotide ribosomal RNA is filed under the name uncultured bacterium. RNAcentral describes it as "partial 16S ribosomal RNA". It matches the Rfam family "Bacterial small subunit ribosomal RNA", at positions 527 to 779 of the family's 1533-position model. The record is from RNAcentral.
CGGAGGGGCUAGCGUUGUUCGGAAUUACUGGGCGUAAAGCGCACGUAGGCGGAUUGGAAAGUUGGGGUGAAAUCCCAGGGCUCAACCCUGGAACUGCCUUCAAAACUCCCAGUCUGGAGGUCGAGAGAGGUGAGUGGAAUUCCGAGUGUAGAGGUGAAAUUCGUAGAUAUUCGGAGGAACACCAGUGGCGAAGGCGGCUCACUGGCUCGAUACUGACGCUGAGGUGCGAAAGCGUGGGGAGCAAACAGGAUU